RNAcentral lists this transfer RNA (74 nucleotides) under Deltaproteobacteria bacterium RIFOXYA2_FULL_42_10. RNAcentral describes it as "tRNA-His". It matches the Rfam family "tRNA". From Rfam's summary of the family: Transfer RNA (tRNA) molecules are approximately 80 nucleotides in length. Their secondary structure includes four short double-helical elements and three loops (D, anti-codon, and T loops). Further hydrogen bonds mediate the characteristic L-shaped molecular structure. tRNAs have two regions of fundamental functional importance: the anti-codon, which is responsible for specific mRNA codon recognition, and the 3' end, to which the tRNAs corresponding amino acid is attached (by aminoacyl-tRNA synthetases). tRNAs cope with the degeneracy of the genetic code in two manners: having more than one tRNA (with a specific anti-codon) for a particular amino acid; and 'wobble' base-pairing, i.e. permitting non-standard base-pairing at the 3rd anti-codon position. Lineage: Bacteria; Deltaproteobacteria. The record is from RNAcentral.
GUGGCUAUAGCUUAGUGGUAAAGCUCCGCUCUGUGAAAGCGGCGAUGCGGGUUCGAUUCCCGCUAGUCACCCCG